Molecule: unclassified non-coding RNA, 345 nt
Filed under: Hevea brasiliensis (rubber tree)
Lineage: Eukaryota; Viridiplantae; Streptophyta; Magnoliopsida; Malpighiales; Euphorbiaceae
Source: RNAcentral
UUUUUUUUUUUUUUUUUCUUAACUCCUUUUGGCCUUGUGGAUUAUUGAAAUUAGGUUAGUUGAAAUUAUUUUAAGUUUUGUUAAUUUGUUAGUUAAAAUUCUGCUUGAUUGUUGAAAUUGAUAGUUUGAUUCUUAACUUUUCAUUGUUCUCUUUGUUGAUUAUUGAAUUUCCUGCUCUGUGUUAUUGCUACUGGUUUUGGGAGGGGAAGUGAGGUAGACGGGAAAAUGAUGAAAAGCUGAAAGGCAGCGUUUGGGCUUGUAAAACCGAUGUUCUGAACCGAAUCAAACCAAUUCAGUUCAGUUUGAUUCAAUUUUUCUCUUAAUUCAGCUCAAUUUUGAUUGGUA